UACGUAGGCAGCAAGCGUUGUUCGGAGUUACUGGGCGUAAAGAGUAUGUAGGCGGUUCUGCAAGUCUGGUGUGAAAUCUCCCGGCUCAACUGGGAGGGUGCGCCGGAAACUGCAGUGCUCGAGUGUGGGAGAGGAAAGCGGAAUUCCUGGUGUAGCGGUGAAAUGCGUAGAUAUCAGGAGGAACACCGGCGGUGUAGACGGCUUUCUGGACCACUACUGACGCUGAGAUACGAAAGCGUGGGGAGCAAACAGG
RNAcentral lists this ribosomal RNA (253 nucleotides) under uncultured Acidobacteriota bacterium. Its description in RNAcentral is "uncultured Acidobacteria bacterium partial 16S ribosomal RNA". It matches the Rfam family "Bacterial small subunit ribosomal RNA", at positions 524 to 776 of the family's 1533-position model. Lineage: Bacteria; Pseudomonadati; Acidobacteriota. The record is from RNAcentral.